Molecule: non-coding RNA, 783 nt
Organism: Bubalus bubalis (water buffalo)
Lineage: Eukaryota; Metazoa; Chordata; Mammalia; Artiodactyla; Bovidae
Source: the annotation of a RefSeq genome assembly
AUAUGUGCUGCCAGGCACUCAAAGACACUGACUCUCAACUUGAGGCAGAAACUAAGCAUAUUUGUGCAGGGAAAUCCAUGCCUCAUGCCGCUCUGCAGCCUGCUCUGGGUGCUCCUGGCCUUCACCUUCUCUGGAUCUGGUGUGGCGCAGAAUGUUAUUCAAGACCAGCCAAACACAUCCGGUCAACUGGGACAGUCAGUCACCCUGAACUGUCGGUAUGGAACAACCUGGAGCUAUUACUACAUGUUUUGGUACAAGCUGCUUCCCAGUGGAGAGAUGAUUUACCUUAUUAGUCAGGCUUCUUCUGGCCAGAAUGCAAGGAAUGGCCGCUACUCUGUAAAUUUUCAGAAAGCUCGUAAAUCCAUCAGCCUCACCAUUUCAGACUUACAGCUGGAAGAUUCUGCCGAGUAUUUCUGUGCUCUCUGGGAGCUCACAGUGCUUGAAGUAAUGGGAAAAGCUAAACAAAAACCCCAGAGUUUAAUAAAAGAGAGCUUCCCUGCUGCAGAACUCCAGCUGAAAUAUGCACCUGCAGAUCCCAGACCAGAAAUGGUAGUUGUGUGGUUGCUUAAUCUGUGGUCUGGAAGUUCCUUUUAAGUCACUUAGGAACAGAUGUCCAAACUAACUUUCUAGUAAUAUGUUCUCAGUCUUAAUUUUUUAAAGUUUAUAUCAAUCAUACAGAACAUGUGCAAAGUUGUCUAAAUUUGAAAACUUGCCCUGUAAUAAUUUAAUGUGGCAACUGCACCUAAAAAAAUCUCACAUCAUAAAUCUGGGUUUAAUUUUCAG